Molecule: ribosomal RNA, 442 nt
Filed under: uncultured bacterium
Lineage: Bacteria
Description: bacterial SSU rRNA
Rfam family: Bacterial small subunit ribosomal RNA
Source: RNAcentral
UAACGCGAAGAACCUUACCUGGGUUUGACAUACGCCGGAAAGCCUCAGAGAUGAGGCCCCUUUAUUGUCGGUGUACAGGUGGUGCAUGGCUGUCGUCAGCUCGUGUCGUGAGAUGUUGGGUUAAGUCCCGCAACGAGCGCAACCCUCGUCCUAUGUUGCCAGCACGUCCUUCGGGAUGGUGGGGACUCAUAGGAGACUGCCGGGGUCAACUCGGAGGAAGGUGGGGAUGACGUCAAGUCAUCAUGCCCCUUAUGUCCAGGGCUUCACGCAUGCUACAAUGGCCGGUACAAAGGGCUGCGAUCCCGUGAGGGGGAGCGAAUCCCAAAAAGCCGGUCUCAGUUCGGAUUGGGGUCUGCAACUCGACCCCAUGAAGUCGGAGUCGCUAGUAAUCGCAGAUCAGCAACGCUGCGGUGAAUACGUUCCCGGGUCUUGUACACACCGA